GGGGGUGUACCGGUUUCGACAGGGCGGGCAAAGGUGAGCAGGCAACCCGAGAGGCGACGGACGUAAUCCGCGCAAAUCCAUAAACGCCAACGAUGAGCGUUUCGCACUGGCCGCUUAAGGCCUAUGCCGAGGCUGCUUGAGCCUUGUUACCAAAGAAAAGCCGGUGGGGACUUCGGUCCCCAUCGUCA
Molecule: transfer-messenger RNA, 188 nt
Filed under: Thauera aminoaromatica
Lineage: Bacteria; Pseudomonadati; Pseudomonadota; Betaproteobacteria; Rhodocyclales; Zoogloeaceae
Also listed under: 1 other name
Description: transfer-messenger RNA Thaue_sp_MZ1T
Rfam family: Betaproteobacteria transfer-messenger RNA
About the family: Bacterial tmRNA, also known as 10Sa RNA or SsrA, is named for its dual tRNA and mRNA-like properties. Its role is to liberate the mRNA from a stalled ribosome.
Source: RNAcentral